UUGUUUGAGUGAAAAGGAACUUAUUGCAACCAUUUCGCAUUAAAAUAAAACAAAUUUUUAAAUUUGGCUAAAAUGCUCAAAAAAAUGGCAAUGGGUAAGCCUUAUGAAAUUUUCGAGUUGGACAUUUUUUAAUUUUUUUUUUGUUAUUUUUUAUUCUUUUCUUCUUUUAAAGCAUUGUUUGAGUUAAAAGAAACAUAUUGCAACAAUUUCGCAUUAAAAUAAAACAAAUUUUUAAAUUUUGCUAAAUUGCUCAAAAAAAUGGCAAGGGGUAAGCCUUAUGAAAUUUUCGAGUUGAAAUUUUUUUUUAAAUUUUUUUGUUAUUUUUUAUUAUUUUCUUCUUUUAAAGCACUAUUUAAGUGAAAAGAAACUUAUUGCAACAAAUUCCCAUCAAAAUAUAUCACAUUUAAAAUUUUUGCUACAUUGUUCAAAAAUGAGGAAAAUUUUACAUUUUCUCAAACAGGGUAAGGAACUUGGUUCCUCGAAUAACUUCUGGCACAGACAUCUGACGGCAUGGCUGUCCAAGAAGAAAAUGUAGCCAUUGGUGCCAUCUAUCGACCACAGGUUAAAGAUUGGCGAUCCGUUGGAUACCGACCGAGUUAUAGGCAAAAUUUGGUGCAAAAAUGAGGAAAAUAUUACAUUUUCUCAAACAGGGUAUGGAACUUGGUUCCUGGAAUAACUUCUGGCACAGACAUCUGAGGGCAUGGCUGUCCAAGAAGAAAAUGUAGCCAUUGAUGCCAUCUAUCGACCACAGGUUAAAGUUUGGCGAUCCGUUGGAUACCGACCGAGGUAUAGGCAAAAGUUGGUGCAAAAAUGAGAAAAAUUUUACAUUUUCUCAAACAGGGUAAGGAACUUGGUUCCUCGAAUAACUUCUGGCACAGACAUCUGACGGUAUGGCCGUCCAAGAAGAAAAUGCAGCCAUUGGUGCCAUCUAUCGACCACAAGUUAAAGAUUGGCGAUCCGUUGGAUACCGACCGAGUUAUAGGCAAAAGUUGGUGCAAAAAUGACCCUUAGUAAAUUUUCAUUUUUUUGAAUUUUUUGAUUUUUUCAUUAUUUUUCACUCUUUUUUUUAUUUCAAUCAUUAUUUGAGUGAGAAGAAACUCAUUGCAACCAAUUGGGAUUAAAAUAAAACAAUUUUAUUUUUUUUGCAAAAUUUCUCAAAAAAAACGUAAGGGGUAAGCCUUAUGAAAUUUUCGAGUUGAAAUUUUUUUGAAAUUUUUUUUUCGAUUUUUUAUUCUUUUUUUUGGUUUAAAGCAUUAUUUGAGUGAAAAGAAACAUAUUGCAACAAAUUCCCAUUAAAAUAUAUCACAUUUUUCAAUUUUGCUAAAUUGUUCAAAAACAGGGUAAGGAACUUGGUUCCCUGAAUAACUUCUGGCACAGACAUCUGAGGGCAUGGCCGUCCAAGAAGAAAAUGUAGCCAUUGAUGCCAUCUAUCGACCACAGGUUAAAGAUUGGCGAUCCGUUGGAUACCGACCGAGUUAUAGGCACAAUUUGGUGCAAAAAUGAGAAAAAUUUUACAUUUUCUCAAACAGGGUAAGGAACUUGGUUCCUCGAAUAACUUCUGGCACAGACAUCUGAGGGCAUGGCCGUCCAAGAAGAAAAUGUAGCCAUUGAUGCCAUCUAUGGACCACAGGUUAAAGAUUGGCGAUCCGUUGGAUACCGACCGAGUUAUAGGCAAAAUUUGGUGCAAAAAUGAGAAAAAUUUUACAUUUUCUCAAACAGGGUAAGGAACUUGGUUCCUCGAAUAACUUCUGGCACAGACAUCUGAGGGCAUGGCCGUCCAAGAAGAAAAUGUAGCCAUUGAUGCCAUCUAUGGACCACAGGUUAAAGAUUGGCGAUCCGUUGGAUACCGACCGAGUUAUAGGCAAAAUUUGGUGCAAAAAUGAGAAAAAUUUUACAUUUUCUCAAACAGGGUAAGGAACUUGGUUCCUCGAAUAACUUCUGGCACAGACAUCUGAGGGCAUGGCCGUCCAAGAAGAAAAUGUAGCCAUUGAUGCCAUCUAUGGACCACAGGUUAAAGAUUGGCGAUCCGUUGGAUACCGACCGAGUUAUAGGCAAAAUUUGGUGCAAAAAUGAGAAAAAUUUUACAUUUUCUCAAACAGGGUAAGGAACUUGGUUCCUCGAAUAACUUCUGGCACAGACAUCUGAGGGCAUGGCCGUCCAAGAAGAAAAUGUAGCCAUUGAUGCCAUCUAUGGACCACAGGUUAAAGAUUGGCGAUCCGUUGGAUACCGACCGAGUUAUAGGCAAAAUUUGGUGCAAAAAUGAGAAAAAUUUUACAUUUUCUCAAACAGGGUAAGGAACUUGGUUCCUCGAAUAACUUCUGGCACAGACAUCUGAGGGCAUGGCCGUCCAAGAAGAAAAUGUAGCCAUUGAUGCCAUCUAUGGACCACAGGUUAAAGAUUGGCGAUCCGUUGGAUACCGACCGAGUUAUAGGCAAAAGUUGGUGCAAAAAUGACCCUUAGUAAAUUUUCAUUUUUUUGAUUUUUUUGAUUUUUUCAUUAUUUUUCACUCUUUUUUUUAUUUCAAUCAUUAUUUGAGUGAAAAGAAACUCAUUGCAACCAAUUGGGAUUAAAAUAAAACAAUUUUAUUUUUUUUGCAAAAUUUCUCAAAAAAAUCGUAA
This is a long non-coding RNA of Anopheles funestus (African malaria mosquito), 2618 nucleotides long. RefSeq lists it as uncharacterized. Lineage: Eukaryota; Metazoa; Arthropoda; Insecta; Diptera; Culicidae. The transcript is spliced from 8 exons. The record is from RefSeq and is a predicted model, not a curated record.